GACGGAGGUGGCAAACGUUGCUCGGAAUCACUGGGCUUAAAGGGCGUGUAGGCGGUCCGUCAAGUCGGGUGUGAAAUCCCUCGGCCUAACCGAGGAACCGCAUUCGAAACUGACGGGCUGGAGUGCGGGAGGGGUAAGUGGAACUCCAGGUGUAGCGGUGAAAUGCGUAGAUAUCUGGAGGAACGCCGGUGGCGAAAGCGACUUACUGGCCCGUAACUGACGCUGAGGCGCGAAAGCUAGGGGAGCAAACGGG
Molecule: ribosomal RNA, 253 nt
Filed under: uncultured bacterium
Lineage: Bacteria
Description: partial 16S ribosomal RNA
Rfam family: Bacterial small subunit ribosomal RNA
Source: RNAcentral